This 415-nucleotide ribosomal RNA is filed under the name uncultured Acidobacteriota bacterium. RNAcentral describes it as "bacterial SSU rRNA". It matches the Rfam family "Bacterial small subunit ribosomal RNA", at positions 87 to 481 of the family's 1533-position model. The record is from RNAcentral. Lineage: Bacteria; Pseudomonadati; Acidobacteriota.
GUAACUGAGUGGCGAACGGGUGAGUAACACGUGGGUGACCUACCCUCGAGUGGGGGAUAACAUCCCGAAAGGGGUGCUAAUACCGCAUGACAUCCUGUCUUUGAACAGAUGGACAUUAAAGCCGGGGAUCGCAAGACCUGGCGCUCGUGGAGGGGCCCGCGCCCGAUUAGCUAGUUGGUGAGGUAACGGCUCACCAAGGCUACGAUCGGUAUCCGGCCUGAGAGGGCGRACGGACACACUGGGACUGAAACACGGCCCAGACUCCUACGGGAGGCAGCAGUGGGGAAUUGUUCGCAAUGGGCGAAAGCCUGACUACGCAACGCCGCGUGGAGGACGAAGAUCUUCGGGUCGUAAACUCCUUUCGAUCGGGACGAAUGAUCGGUGACCUAAUACGUCGCCGGAAUGACGGUACCGA